Molecule: long non-coding RNA, 578 nt
Filed under: Nicotiana benthamiana
Lineage: Eukaryota; Viridiplantae; Streptophyta; Magnoliopsida; Solanales; Solanaceae
Description: long non-coding RNA (NBEN_LNC003639)
Source: RNAcentral
CCUUUAUAUGUUUUACAUGAUUCCUUUACGUACAAGUCCUAUUUGCUUUUGUAUGACGCCUAGCAUUUUUACCUUUGAACCUAGGGGUCCAUCCUAGUUCCUACCUUAUAGGAAUAGUGAUCGUAAGUUCCCUCUAGGAUCUAUAGAACGGGACAGGUAAUAGCACGCAAUAAGUACUCGUAACCAAUCCACGCGCUUAAAUAACCUCUACGGGGUGUGAAUGAUAGAAUAUGGAGAUGAUGAAAAUGUGAUAAUAUCAUAAAGCGAUCCCUCUUUGGGAAUGUGAGCUGGAUAUUGCAUCGAAUGAUCCAUAUUAUAGUCAAACAUAGGACCCCUCUUUCUCUUACGUGCUUUAUUUAAAUGAUUUCCUCAUGCUUUCCAAACUAAUCCUCUUUUAUUUCAAACUUAUGUCAUUUUCUUUAUAGCUUUCAAAUUAUAUGAAUGUUGUACGUGUGCAUUUUAUUUGCUUCAUCUUCUUCUAAAGUCACAAUUAGCACGGCCGGGAACCACAUUUGUCGAUCUUGAGGGGUGCCUAACACCUUCCCCUCGAGAUAAUCUCAAGCCCUUACCCAACUCUG